This 492-nucleotide ribosomal RNA is filed under the name uncultured bacterium. RNAcentral's name for it is "partial 16S ribosomal RNA". It matches the Rfam family "Bacterial small subunit ribosomal RNA", at positions 29 to 507 of the family's 1533-position model. The record is from RNAcentral.
AGUGAACGCUGGCGGUAGGCCUAACACAUGCAAGUCGAACGGCAGCACAGUAAGAGCUUGCUCUUACGGGUGGCGAGUGGCGGACGGGUGAGGAAUACAUCGGAAUCUACUUUUUCGUGGGGGAUAACGUAGGGAAACUUACGCUAAUACCGCAUACGACCUACGGGUGAAAGCAGGGGAUCUUCGGACCUUGCGCGAUUGAAUGAGCCGAUGUCGGAUUAGCUAGUUGGCGGGGUAAAGGCCCACCAAGGCGACGAUCCGUAGCUGGUCUGAGAGGAUGAUCAGCCACACUGGAAGUGAGACACGGUCCAGACUCCUACGGGAGGCAGCAGUGGGGAAUAUUGGGCAAUGGGCGCAAGCCUGAUCCAGCCAUACCGCGUGGGUGAAGAAGGCCUUCGGGUUGUAAAGCCCUUUUGUUGGGAAAGAAAAGCAGCAGGUUAAUACCCCGCUGUUCUGACGGUACCCAAAGAAUAAGCACCGGCUAACUUCGUG